Molecule: ribosomal RNA, 962 nt
Filed under: Bacteroides cellulosilyticus
Lineage: Bacteria; Pseudomonadati; Bacteroidota; Bacteroidia; Bacteroidales; Bacteroidaceae
Description: bacterial SSU rRNA
Rfam family: Bacterial small subunit ribosomal RNA
Source: RNAcentral
AGAGUUUGAUCCUGGCUCAGGAUGAACGCUAGCUACAGGCUUAACACAUGCAAGUCGAGGGGCAGCAUGACCUAGCAAUAGGUUGAUGGCGACCGGCGCACGGGUGAGUAACACGUAUCCAACCUACCGGUUAUUCCGGGAUAGCCUUUCGAAAGAAAGAUUAAUACCGGAUAGUAUAACGAGAAGGCAUCUUUUUGUUAUUAAAGAAUUUCGAUAACCGAUGGGGAUGCGUUCCAUUAGUUUGUUGGCGGGGUAACGGCCCACCAAGACAUCGAUGGAUAGGGGUUCUGAGAGGAAGGUCCCCCACAUUGGAACUGAGACACGGUCCAAACUCCUACGGGAGGCAGCAGUGAGGAAUAUUGGUCAAUGGACGAGAGUCUGAACCAGCCAAGUAGCGUGAAGGAUGACUGCCCUAUGGGUUGUAAACUUCUUUUAUAUGGGAAUAAAGUGAGCCACGUGUGGCUUUUUGUAUGUACCAUACGAAUAAGGAUCGGCUAACUCCGUGCCAGCAGCCGCGGUAAUACGGAGGAUCCGAGCGUUAUCCGGAUUUAUUGGGUUUAAAGGGAGCGUAGGCGGACUAUUAAGUCAGCUGUGAAAGUUUGCGGCUCAACCGUAAAAUUGCAGUUGAUACUGGUCGUCUUGAGUGCAGUAGAGGUAGGCGGAAUUCGUGGUGUAGCGGUGAAAUGCUUAGAUAUCACGAAGAACUCCGAUUGCGAAGGCAGCUUACUGGACUGUAACUGACGCUGAUGCUCGAAAGUGUGGGUAUCAAACAGGAUUAGAUACCCUGGUAGUCCACACAGUAAACGAUGAAUACUCGCUGUUUGCGAUAUACGGCAAGCGGCCAAGCGAAAGCAUUAAGUAUUCCACCUGGGGAGUACGCCGGCAACGGUGAAACUCAAAGGAAUUGACGGGGGCCCGCACAAGCGGAGGAACAUGUGGUUUAAUUCGAUGAUACGCGAGGA